GACGAACGCUGGCGGCGUGCUUAACACAUGCAAGUGGAGCGACGAACCAGGCUUCGGCCUGGGGCAGAGCCGCGAACGGGUGAGUAACACGUGGGUAACGUGCCUCGAUGACCGGGACAACCCGAGGAAACUCGGGCUAAUACCGGAUGUGCUCACACCACAUCAGUGGUGUCAGUAAAGGUAACUUCGGCCUCCGCAUCGAGAUCGGCCCGCGGCGCAUUAGCUUGUUGGUGGGGAACGGCCUACCAAGGCAACGAUGCGUAGCUGGUCUGAGAGGACGAUCAGCCACACUGGGACUGAGACACGGCCCAGACUCCUACGGGAGGCAGCAGUGGGGAAUCUUGCGCAAUGCGCGAAAGCGUGACGCAGCAACGCCGC
RNAcentral lists this ribosomal RNA (378 nucleotides) under uncultured bacterium. RNAcentral describes it as "bacterial SSU rRNA". It matches the Rfam family "Bacterial small subunit ribosomal RNA", at positions 28 to 400 of the family's 1533-position model. The record is from RNAcentral.